ACAAUCCCAGUGGAAGGAUUCAGGCAUCCUUAGGCCUCCUGCCUAGGCCCCCUGGCUGCUGCAGAGGGUAUGGGGGUGUUUCCUUUGGCCCCUUGCCAACCUCAGAGGAGCUCAGACCCCAGGGUCCCACCCACUCCCAUCCCCAGGUGUCUUCCUUACACUAAACUGGCCCCAGGAAAGGGCAGUGCCCAGAGGAGAAGGCAGGCAAUGCCAGUGGAAUGUGUGUGGGCAUCGGAGGGCACGGGCAGGGUGGGGCAGGGGGAAACUGGAGGUGCCAGUUAGGUGGCUUUGUGAGCCAGGGGGGGAUGUGCCAGGGGGGGGAUAGAAGGGGGCGUGCCCACCACUCCCUACCAGAGCCCUGAGCUAUGGUGUAUGAAGGGGGGAAGGGGUGUUGUUUGGGAGGUUAUCCCCGCUCCCUUCUCCUGACAAGGAGGGGGCACAAGCUACAUUUCCUUAAUACUGCCCUCUCUUCACCUCCCUCUAAAAUGUGGGCACAGGUGAGGUUUCCUCACCUCAAAAGUCCUAUGUCCCUCCCCAGAAGUUAAUCUAUGGCUGGAAAGGAGCAAUCCUUCUGGACUCGGGGAGUGAGACUCCAGCUACCCUGGACAUCAGACUAGGUGAAUGAGCUUUCUCAACUGUACUAGUCUCUGGGUUCAAAUCUUCUUUGUAUCUCUCGUUGGAACAAGAGCCUUCUCUUCAGCUAAUACAGAUGAGAAAACUGAGGCUCAGAUGGAUUAUGUGACUUACUCAUGGC
Long non-coding RNA from Vombatus ursinus (common wombat), 754 nucleotides. RefSeq lists it as uncharacterized. The record is from RefSeq and is a predicted model, not a curated record. The transcript has 3 exons. NCBI's taxonomy places the organism in Eukaryota, Metazoa, Chordata, Mammalia, Diprotodontia, Vombatidae.